Molecule: ribosomal RNA, 32 nt
Filed under: Carpacoce spermacocea
Lineage: Eukaryota; Viridiplantae; Streptophyta; Magnoliopsida; Gentianales; Rubiaceae
Also listed under: 2 other names
Description: partial 26S ribosomal RNA
Source: RNAcentral
GCGACCCCAGGUCAGUCGGGAUUACCCGCUGA